RNAcentral lists this unclassified non-coding RNA (1491 nucleotides) under Hevea brasiliensis (rubber tree). Lineage: Eukaryota; Viridiplantae; Streptophyta; Magnoliopsida; Malpighiales; Euphorbiaceae. The record is from RNAcentral.
CUCCACCGUCCGAUCAUCUUCACACUCAACAGUUUGCCUCCAAUUUCACCACAUUGUAUCAUUCCAUUUUCCCGCCAAAACCAUCUCCGCUUCCUUCUUCUAUCUCCUUUUCACUAACCCCUUCCACCUCCUCCCCGUCCUCCACUGCCACCACUAAUGAUUUUAAUACUGAGCACCGCCUUCACCAGGCGCGUCUUAUUUUGGAGUAUCAAGAGCUCUGCGACCACUACGAGCUCUCUGUCGCUCGCCUCCAAGUUUUGACAAACGAGAUCGACUCGCUUCGCCAAGAGAAUGCCGAUCUCAGAUUCACCAAUAAUGAGCUGGUUAAGAUUCUCAGCUUAUCUUCUCAGGCCGCGAUUCAAAGCCGCUUUACCAGCCGCGAGAUGGUUGAGCCGAACCGUUUCGAGAGGAAUACAGAGCGAGUCUCGUUGCCGAAGAGCAUUUCUGUCCGGUCUAGUGGUUAUCUUAAAACAAAUCGAGCCAGUGCAAGCAAUGGUGGCGGUCAGAGUAGCACCUCAAAUAGGCCGCGAGUUCCGAGUCAUCUCGAUCAAUUCGUCCCUGGAUCGGCGCAGCAUCGAGUGUGCGUGCCAGGACGAGGGAAGAAGGAGGACGCAGCCGUGGAGUUAGACGUGUACAAUCAAGGGAUGUGGAAGACAGAGCUGUGCAACAAAUGGCAGGAGACUAGCACGUGUCCUUACGGCGACCAUUGCCAAUUUGCUCACGGAAUUACAGAGCUACGUCCCGUUAUAAGGCACCCAAGGUACAAGACUCAGCUUUGCAGGAUGGUUCUUGCCGGUGAAGUAUGUCCCUAUGAUCAUAGGUGCCACUUUCGCCACUCUCUUACUGAGCAGGAGAGGCUAAUGGGUCCACGUUGAUCUGUUUUUCUUGAUGGGGAAAGGGAAAUGUAAAGAUUAAGGAAAUGCCAAAGGGGAUGUAUAAUCAAUAUAUGAUGUAACUAAUAAAAAUGGGUAAAACAAGAGAGAUGAGAACUUAUAAAUGAGGAGGAUAAAUAUAUUAAGAAGAUAUAAUAAUUAGUAAAAUGGGGUAAUAAGAGUUAAAACUUUUCUCCGAGAGGUUUAAGUCGCAAGUCAGAGAAAUUGGAUAUUCCUGAUUGUUGUAGGAAAUAUUUCUGAAUUCUGAUGUGAAGCUGGUUGGGAUAGGUCAUGAACAACCUCCAAAACUAGACCAAACUUCAAGCCUGUAAUGAUGAUAUUUUGUUGUGCAAUGCUACGCAACCUUCAUUUCAAGUUAGUUACGUUCUUCCUUCCAAAACUCUCUUUCACACACGAACACGCACACAAACACAGAGUCAAAUUGUUGCAUUUUUGUCCUUCGGAUUUGGUGUGGACGGGUACAGAAGUAUAGACAUUAUUGUUGCAUUGUUUGUCAAUUGUGAAUUAAAUUUGCGAUGCUGACGCCUUGUGUACUCCUUACAUAACCUAUGAAUGUUUCUUUUAUAUAUGUUUCCUCUAGUUUCACACGUAAGCAAAG